CUCAAGUCUCUUUCCUGAUGAUGAAGUGAAAUUUGAAGAAAUGGCUUCAAUGUGGAGUCUUCCGGAGGAGAUUCAGGUAUGUGAACGGAUGUAUGGGUGAUGCGGAGUAAGAGAAUCUUCGGCUCAAGCAUUUACCACUGCCCAGCUAAGAAUGACCAGAGAUUAAUCUUUCAAGCCAACAUGGUCUUUCGAAAAUGGUGACAUUCUCGAACAAUUGAUCUUAUGCGAUCAAAGUAAAUGGAGAAACUAGAAAGGCAUCUUCACUCUUCCUCCUUCCAUUCACAUCUCUUGGUUUCACUAUCAAUUUUUGGUAGCCGUAGGGGGAUACAGUGGGCGAGUAAUAACUGCAUGCUGCCUAUUGUGGUGUCCAACACUGUUGAACAAGAGGGAGGCAUUGUCAUAAAUUGAAGUCUAAGCACUCCAUACAUCCCUUUUAUGUCCACUUUAAGCCUGUGUGGUACUGUCUACAAUACUUCGAAAUAGAACGAUGUUAACCGUCUGCAGUUUCCAGUAGAGCAGUUGUAUGUGGUCUACAUAUUCUGACUACUUGCGACAAAGUAUUAUGCAGAACUUUCUUGCAUUAGGAGGACGUGCUAUUUGUGCAAUACUCCAAAAGAGCAUGAGUUAGAUGCAGAACUUUCUUGCGUUAGGAGGACGUGCUCUUUGUGCAAUUAAUACACCAAAAUAUGAUAUUGUCCAAGUAACACAUCAGCUAAUGUGAUUCUUAUAGCAUCAUUGUAGUUACAUGUGCCCUUAUAACUGAAACUAACAAGUCCAUCACGGAAUGGCACAUGUCUUUUGUUUCAAAAUUGUUUAUAUAGAAAAGCUGUUUACGGAUAUAUCUGGUAUAUGACUUCCAGAUUGGUCCCACAUAAUGCUAGUGAACUCGUCUUGUGUAAACCCUUUGUCUGCUUUCUCAGUCUCUAACACUUGGUUUGGUACUUCCUUCCUCGCUAAACUUUUAGCAAUGGAGCACAUAAGGUUUGGUGUUGGUGGAAAUGAUGCUGCAAGCCUGAUUCUCCCUACAAGAUGAAGCAAACAGCUGGGUUUAGCUUUCCAGAAAAGGUUCUGAUGCAGAUCUUUGUAAGGGUACCUGGGAAAUCUAUCUUAAUUUGUUCCUCUUUUGAUGUGUGGGUGAUGCAAGAUUAUUGAGUAAGAGAAUCUAGGGCUAAACAUUUCACCUUUACUGAUGACCAAAGGUGUACUUCCCUGAUACUGCUAUGAGAAGGAAUGAAGAGGGUUUACCGGAGAAUAUAGGGAGUUAUGUGGAAAUCCUAGUCCGGCUCUAAUCUGUCUGGUACUUAUGUGGCGAAAAAAAAUGGAAAUUCAAAUAUGGGGAAGUCCAGCUAGGCGAUAAAUAUUGAGCAACGGAAUGUAUUCACAUAAUGCGGUGAAGACAGGAGAUGAACACCUGAAAUUUAAACUGCGUGUAAGAGGCAGUGGUUUAACGAUGGUCCAGGAACAAGGCUGUGCAAACGAAGAACUUGUCAGUAAAAUAAAGUGGCAAAAAGAAAAACUCAGAAUAUCUUUCUGCAGCAUUUUAUUUAACUAGAUUUUCAAUAUAAUCUUAUUUCAACUUGUUAGUGGUAUAUGUUUCCUGUAAGCUUCUUUGCUUGUUUCGAGUCUGAAACAGCU
Long non-coding RNA from Papaver somniferum (opium poppy), 1635 nucleotides. RefSeq lists it as uncharacterized. The record is from RefSeq and is a predicted model, not a curated record. NCBI's taxonomy places the organism in Eukaryota, Viridiplantae, Streptophyta, Magnoliopsida, Ranunculales, Papaveraceae. The transcript is spliced from 3 exons.